Molecule: ribosomal RNA, 253 nt
Filed under: uncultured bacterium
Lineage: Bacteria
Description: partial 16S ribosomal RNA
Rfam family: Bacterial small subunit ribosomal RNA
Source: RNAcentral
UACAGAGGUCUCAAGCGUUGUUCGGAUUCAUUGGGCGUAAAGGGUGCGUAGGCGGCGCGGUAAGUCGGAUGUGAAAUCUCGGGGCUUAACUCCGAAACUGCAUUCGAUACUACCGUGCUUGAGGACUGGAGAGGAGACUGGAAUUUACGGUGUAGCGGUGAAAUGCGUAGAUAUCGUAAGGAAGACCAGUGGCGAAGGCGGGUCUCUGGGCCGACAUUGACGCUGAGGAGCGAAAGCGUGGGGAGCGAACAGG